GUCCCUUCGAGGCAUCUGAUAAACUUGGAACAAUACCAGGAGAUUAUCAAGGCUCUUCGCAAGGAUGACAAGCAGAAAUUGGGAAAUGGUUGAAAUUUUU
This is a small nuclear RNA of Lycium barbarum (goji berry), 100 nucleotides long. Lineage: Eukaryota; Viridiplantae; Streptophyta; Magnoliopsida; Solanales; Solanaceae. The record is from RefSeq and is a predicted model, not a curated record.